This is a non-coding RNA of Pelobates cultripes (western spadefoot toad), 242 nucleotides long. NCBI's taxonomy places the organism in Eukaryota, Metazoa, Chordata, Amphibia, Anura, Pelobatidae. The record is from the annotation of a GenBank genome assembly.
GUGUGUCUGAUUAAAUGUAAAAUUUUGUUAAAACUUUAAUAAAACUGUAAUAAAACGUUAAUAAAAUCAGGGUAAGAUAUUAAAUGUUGAGGUGCUGCAUCAGAGCCUGACGUAUUUCACUGCACUCGUCUUCGCUAUCCUGUAUAAUUACCCGCCCUGGCUCUUCUGCAGACGUAUUCCAAUCCUGGUGGAAGUCUUCUCCAUGUCUUUCACAAAGAUUGUGAAGAGCACAGCAAGUAAGC